UACGUAGGGUGCAAGCGUUGUCCGGAAUUAUUGGGCGUAAAGAGCUCGUAGGCGGUCUGUCGCGUCGGCUGUGAAAACUCGGGGCUCAACCCCGAGCCUGCAGUCGAUACGGGCAGACUAGAGUGCUGUAGGGGAGACUGGAAUUCCUGGUGUAGCGGUGAAAUGCGCAGAUAUCAGGAGGAACACCGGUGGCGAAGGCGGGUCUCUGGGCAGUAACUGAUGCUGAGGAGCGAAAGCGUGGGGAGCGAACAGG
RNAcentral lists this ribosomal RNA (253 nucleotides) under uncultured bacterium. RNAcentral describes it as "partial 16S ribosomal RNA". It matches the Rfam family "Bacterial small subunit ribosomal RNA", at positions 524 to 776 of the family's 1533-position model. The record is from RNAcentral.